This 482-nucleotide ribosomal RNA is filed under the name uncultured bacterium. Its description in RNAcentral is "partial 16S ribosomal RNA". It matches the Rfam family "Bacterial small subunit ribosomal RNA", at positions 30 to 507 of the family's 1533-position model. The record is from RNAcentral.
AUUGAACGCUGGCGGCAUGCCUUACACAUGCAAGUCGAACGGUAACGGGCCUUCGGGUGCCGACGAGUGGCGAACGGGUGAGUAAUACAUCGGAACGUGCCCGAUCGUGGGGGAUAACGAGGCGAAAGCUUUGCUUAUACCGCAUACGAUCUACGGAUGAAAGCAGGGGACCGCAAGGCCUUGCGCGGACGGAGCGGCCGAUGGCAGAUUAGGUAGUUGGUGGGAUAAAAGCUUACCAAGCCGACGAUCUGUAGCUGGUCUGAGAGGAUGAUCAGCCACACUGGGACUGAGACACGGCCCAGACUCCUACGGGAGGCAGCAGUGGGGAAUUUUGGACAAUGGGCGCAAGCCUGAUCCAGCCAUGCCGCGUGCAGGAUGAAGGCCUUCGGGUUGUAAACUGCUUUUGUACGGAACGAAAAGCCUUCUUUUAAUACAGGAGGGUCAUGACGGUACCGUAAGAAUAAGCACCGGCUAACUACGUG